GCCAAGUCCUUGUAGGGAUUAGCUAGCAACUAUCCACUAAAGGAGUGAGACAUUUUGCCCCUUUUUAUUUUCUUUCCCUUAGGCAUCAUGAAAAGAAAAAUAUGGCGCCAUGGUCUUCAGACCCCUUUGAUGGGAUAAUCUUGAAGAUCUCCCAUAACAAGUUACCAGAGUGAUAUUUCAAAAGGUGGUGACCCCUGAUACCCCAGACUCUGUCUCCAGGCCUGCUUCUGGAGAACCCAGCCUGCGAUACGUGACCAGCAGACAGAUGGUUAUUGGUUAUUUUGCAUCCAGCUUCAAGAGAAGGGAGAAGUGGACCACACAGAGUGACACUAAGAC
RNAcentral lists this long non-coding RNA (336 nucleotides) under Equus caballus (horse). Its description in RNAcentral is "lncRNA (ENSECAG00000059700.1)". Lineage: Eukaryota; Metazoa; Chordata; Mammalia; Perissodactyla; Equidae. The record is from RNAcentral.